This is a long non-coding RNA of Gallus gallus (chicken), 1028 nucleotides long. NCBI's taxonomy places the organism in Eukaryota, Metazoa, Chordata, Aves, Galliformes, Phasianidae. The record is from Ensembl.
AUCUCAGCUCAUACACUUAGAUUGUGAGUCUCCACGGGACAAUGCUGUUGUAACAAAAAAGAGUUCAGAGCUCUCAAACUCUUGAGUUUACAGUGGGGGAAACCUUAAAUAGGAAUUACCUAGUAUUCUAGAUGAGUGUGGCACUAUUGAAAGGGAAACUCACUAGAAAGAUCCUUCCGGUUCAAUAGUUGCAAUGCACCUGAGUGACUGGAAGGGCUGGAGCCAGGAUCUACCCCUUUCCAGGACUCAUUUAAGGGAUGGCAGUGGAUGCAAAGGUAUCUUUCUGGAGAUCCCUGCAUAUGUGAGGCCUUCUGAAGCACAGCCUGUGAGCAUCCGUGGAGAGCAUGUCAGAUCCUCUGGAGUGGAGUGAUAAUGGCUUUCCAUCAAUAGUGGCAGUGACCAGAUUUAAAGAAGGUCUUGAGAGAAAUGUACCUGUAUAGGGUUGAACAUGGAUACCCAUUCCGGGAAUUGACAACUGCUUGAGUGAAUGGUGUUUUGCCUUUAUUCUUGGAAAGUUCAAGCCCACGUUUCCAAUCACAGUAUAGCUCCUAACCACUAGAUUGCAAGCUACAGAUCUCAAGACCAGCCAAAGACCGUUUAAUCUAGCAGCGAAGAUUUUAAUUGCUUCCAACCAAGAAGGGAGCUGCACUCCAGGCUUCUCCAUCUGUACAAAUGCUCAAAUCAGUUGGCUGCUCCACAAACACUGGACACAACCUCUGGCCUUUCCCAAAACAAACCCCGAACCUUGGUCAGUCCAUUGAGGGAUACUCAGAGGUCUCUCCUUCUGACCAUGGGCUUGAGAUGGAGUCACUACAGCUGCAGGCUGGAGCAUGCACAGAUUUGGACUUGUUGCUCCCUAUAGUUCCUUUACAACUUGGGAUACUCCAUGAUUCAACCUGGUCAGGGUGGGAAAGCCUUCACUGAGCUCACCACUUGCUACCACCAAGCUCCUGUCCUUGGGGAUUUCACUCACCAUCCCAAAGGUAUUUCACGCAAAAUAAGUAGCCCUCAAAUAAACUGCAUUUCUU